GAGGGUAUAGCUCAGUGGUAGAGCAUGUGCUUAGCAUAGACAAGAUCCUAGGUUCAAUCCCCAGUACCUCCA
RNAcentral lists this transfer RNA (72 nucleotides) under Camelus bactrianus (Bactrian camel). It matches the Rfam family "tRNA". From Rfam's summary of the family: Transfer RNA (tRNA) molecules are approximately 80 nucleotides in length. Their secondary structure includes four short double-helical elements and three loops (D, anti-codon, and T loops). The record is from Rfam by way of RNAcentral. RNAcentral also lists the same sequence under 2 other names. Lineage: Eukaryota; Metazoa; Chordata; Mammalia; Artiodactyla; Camelidae.